GGUGAAGUAUGGGACGUUGCAUAUUAAGUGUUUUUGUGUUUAUGUGUUCUAGGAUAUCAAUUGAGCAUGCUAGUUGUAACAUCCUGUACUUUUCCCUAUUUAGAAAUAGUGUCUUAACACUAUUGAGAGUACUGAGAUAUUGAGAUGCUGAGAUUUUUUUUUUUUAUGACCAGAUAAGACAGAUUGUCUUUUAAAUAGAGAUAUGAGUGGACAAACCAAUGAUAGAGUUAGAGUGAAGAGAUU
This 243-nucleotide long non-coding RNA is filed under the name Salvia miltiorrhiza (redroot sage). RNAcentral's name for it is "long non-coding RNA (SMIL_LNC013982)". The record is from RNAcentral. Lineage: Eukaryota; Viridiplantae; Streptophyta; Magnoliopsida; Lamiales; Lamiaceae.